GAUGAACGCUGGCGGCGUGCCUAAUACAUGCAAGUCGAGCGAACAGAUGAGGAGCUUGCUCCUCUGACGUUAGCGGCGGACGGGUGAGUAACACGUGGAUAACCUACCUAUAAGACUGGGAUAACUUCGGGAAACCGGAGCUAAUACCGGAUAAUAUAUUGAACCGCAUGGUUCAAUAGUGAAAGACGGUUUUGCUGUCACUUAUAGAUGGAUCCGCGCCGCAUUAGCUAGUUGGUAAGGUAACGGCUUACCAAGGCAACGAUGCGUAGCCGACCGGAGAGGGUGAUCGGCCACACUGGAACUGAGACGCGGUCCAGACUCCUGAGGGAGGCAGCAGUAGGGAAUCUUCCGCAAUGGGCGAAAGCCUGACGGAGCAACGCCGCGUGAGUGAUGAAGGUCUUCGGAUCGUAAAACUCUGUUAUUAGGGAAGAACAAAUGUGUAAGUAACUAUGCACGUCUUGACGGUACCUAAUCAGAAAGCCACGGCUAACUACGUG
RNAcentral lists this ribosomal RNA (497 nucleotides) under uncultured bacterium. RNAcentral describes it as "partial 16S ribosomal RNA". It matches the Rfam family "Bacterial small subunit ribosomal RNA", at positions 28 to 507 of the family's 1533-position model. The record is from RNAcentral.